CUUUUACCUGUCCAGUGGAAUCAAAUCACUAAAGGUGAAGGAAAUUAGGGAUCAAGUUCAGAUUCAACUUUAGAUUUCUCUUUGCGGUUUCCCAGAGUCUUCUCAGACACCCGGGUGUGGUUUCCGGGAAAGGGGAUCUAUCAUUGAGCAGCUGGAGAAGGAGGCUCAGAGGACUCUUAUGCCUUCUCUCAAGAUUGAGACAUGCUGUGCCCCAAUCCUCCUCUCCUUCCUGAGGAGUCUUUUCUCUAGCCAAUGGAGAGUGAUUCAGCAUGGCAUGAAAAAUAACCUCACAUUCGAGCAGCUCUCCAUGCUGUGUCUGAAGAUUGUUAAAGUCGUGACCCAGACAGCCCUCCGCAUUCUCCUACCAGCGCUAGCUCGUAUCAUGGGGGUGAACCUGAGGAGUGGGGCAACCUCCCCAGAAUCCCAGUGCUCUCUGACAGGGUCUGAGGAUUCCUUAGGCAGUCUGGAUGAGAGAGAGAAAAGGCUGCUGACCAGUGAGAUGAACUACUGGACUAAGGAGAGGAGGAGGAAUGGCAGUGCAGGGUGCCGCCAUAAAUCCACUCGCAGAACCUCAUCACCAUGCUGUUCGCCUAAGAGCGUUCCAAGAGAGGAAACAAAAAGGACUGCCAUUCAGUCCAGGAACAGACUGAGAUUCCCUCUACUGAUGGACAUUGCAUAGGUAAGGACUUUAGAGCUCUGCUAUAGCUUGUAGUUUUGUU
Oncorhynchus kisutch (coho salmon) is the source of this 719-nucleotide long non-coding RNA. The record is from Ensembl. Lineage: Eukaryota; Metazoa; Chordata; Actinopteri; Salmoniformes; Salmonidae.